GAGAAGAAUUUAGAAAUACAGAAAUUGCUAACUAUCUGAUCUCGUG
RNAcentral lists this transfer RNA (46 nucleotides) under Plethodon elongatus (Del Norte salamander). RNAcentral's name for it is "partial tRNA-Ser". The record is from RNAcentral. Lineage: Eukaryota; Metazoa; Chordata; Amphibia; Caudata; Plethodontidae.